Long non-coding RNA from Bufo bufo (common toad), 1139 nucleotides. RefSeq lists it as uncharacterized. The record is from RefSeq and is a predicted model, not a curated record. The transcript has 3 exons. NCBI's taxonomy places the organism in Eukaryota, Metazoa, Chordata, Amphibia, Anura, Bufonidae.
AGCCGUGGAGUGUGAUUUGUAUCAGCGUCUCCACGGUAGGUGGUAGUUAUUUGACUAUCCCGUUGAGGACCGGUUUGUGUCUGCUUCUUUACCUCUCCAUCCAAUGCCUUACCAGUACUUUUCUCACUCAGGUGGAGAACCAGUACCAACCCAUUCUUGACACGACCUGGACUCAAGACAGCGGACAACAUGUGAGCGCACAGCAGUGUGAAGAGCCACAACCUUGCCGAGACCUCUGAUGCUUCAGUUGCGUUUAUUAAUAAGUAUAUUUUUUUUCUUGACCUUUCCAGACUUUUUUGGACAGGUGGACAGCCGGCGCGUGGUAGAAUAGCUCUCUAGCCGUGGAGUGUGAUUUGUAUCAGCGUCUCCACGGUAGGUGGUAGUUAUUUGACUAUCCCGUUGAGGACCGGUUUGUGUCUGCUUCUUUACCUCUCCAUCCAAUGCCUUACCAGUACUUUUCUCACUCAGGUGGAGAACCAGUACCAACCCAUUCUUGACACGACCUGGACUCAAGACAGCGGACAACAUGUGAGCGCACAGCAGUGUGAAGAGCCACAACCUUGCCGAGACCUCUGAUGCUUCAGUUGCGUUUAUUAAUAAGUAUAUUUUUUUUCUUGACCUUUCCAGACUUUUUUGGACAGGUGGACAGCCGGCGCAUGGUAGGAAAGCUCUCUAGCCGUGGAGUGUGAUUUGUAUCAGCGUCUCCACGGUAGGUGGUAGUUAUUUGACUAUCCCGUUGAGGUCCGGUUUGUGUCUGCUUCUUUACCUCUCCAUCCAAUGCCUUACCAGUACUUUUCUCACUCAGGUGGAGAACCAGUACCAACCCAUUCUUGACACGACCUGGACUCAAGACAGCGGACAACAUGUGAGCGCACAGCAGUGUGAAGAGCCACAACCUUGCCGAGACCUCUGAUGCUUUUUUUACAACUUACAUUUGCUGUAACCAUGUCAGGAACUAAAAAUUUUUUGUAUGAUAUGUAUAAAUCAUGGAUCUCAAACUCAUGGCCCUCCAGAUGUUACAAAACUACAACUCUCAUCAUUCCCUGAUAGCUGUAGUAUGCCCAGGCAAGAUGGGAGUUGUAGUUUUGCAACAGCUGGAGGGCCACGAGUUUGACAUCCCUGGUGUGGCGGGGGCACAG